UACGUAGGGGGCAAGCGUUGUCCGGAUUUAUUGGGCGUAAAGAGCGUGUAGGCGGCCAGGUAGGUCUGCUGUUAAAACUCGAGGCUUAACCUCGAGAGGUCGGUGGAAACCAUCUGGCUAGAGUCCGGAAGAGGAGAGUGGAAUUCCCGGUGUAGCGGUGAAAUGCGCAGAUAUCGGGAAGAACACCCGUGGCGAAGGCGGCUCUCUGGGACGGUACUGACGCUGAGACGCGAAAGCGUGGGGAGCGAACAGG
This 253-nucleotide ribosomal RNA is filed under the name uncultured bacterium. Its description in RNAcentral is "partial 16S ribosomal RNA". It matches the Rfam family "Bacterial small subunit ribosomal RNA", at positions 524 to 776 of the family's 1533-position model. The record is from RNAcentral.